This 94-nucleotide transfer RNA is filed under the name Cupriavidus campinensis. RNAcentral describes it as "tRNA-Glu". Lineage: Bacteria; Pseudomonadati; Pseudomonadota; Betaproteobacteria; Burkholderiales; Burkholderiaceae. The record is from RNAcentral. RNAcentral also lists the same sequence under 1 other name.
GGUCCAGUUGAUCACCGGCAGGUAGAUCUGGCCGAUUUCCGCCGCCGAGGUGUAGCGGAUGCGCAUGCGCGGCACGAAGCCGAGCUGGAUCGCC